Molecule: ribosomal RNA, 445 nt
Filed under: uncultured bacterium
Lineage: Bacteria
Description: partial 16S ribosomal RNA
Rfam family: Bacterial small subunit ribosomal RNA
Source: RNAcentral
GUGAGGAAUAUUGCGCAAUGGAGGCAACUCUGACGCAGCCAUGCCGCGUGCAGGAAGAAGGCGCUACGCGUUGUAAACUGCUUUUAACCGGGAAGAAACCCCAGGACGUGUCCUGGGUUGACGGUACCGGAGGAAUAAGCACCGGCUAACUUCGUGCCAGCAGCCGCGGUAAUACGAAGGGUGCAAGCGUUAUCCGGAUUCAUUGGGUUUAAAGUGUGCGUAGGCGGAGCGUUAAGUCAGUGGUGAAAUCCUGCAGCUUAACUGUAGACUUGCCAUUGAUACUGGCGCUCUUGAGUGCGCUUGAAGUGGGCGGAAUGUGCCGUGUAGCGGUGAAAUGCUUAGAUAUGGCACAGAACACCAAUUGCGAAGGCAGCUCACUAAGGCGAUACUGACGCUGAGGCACGAAAGCGUGGGGAUCGAACAGGAUUAGAUACCCCAGUAGUCC